RNAcentral lists this ribosomal RNA (253 nucleotides) under uncultured bacterium. RNAcentral's name for it is "partial 16S ribosomal RNA". It matches the Rfam family "Bacterial small subunit ribosomal RNA", at positions 524 to 776 of the family's 1533-position model. The record is from RNAcentral.
UACGUAGGGGGCAAGCGUUGUCCGGAGUUACUGGGCGUAAAGCGCACGCAGGCGGUCGAUUAAGUUUGGAGUGACAGUUGGUGGCUUAACUGCCAAAGUGCUUUGAAAACUGAUCGACUUGAGGGCUUCAGAGGGACACGGAAUUCCGGGUGGAGUGGUGAAGUGCGUAGAGAUCCGGAGGAACACCGAAGGCGAAGGCAGUGUCCUGGGGAGUACCUGACGCUCAGGUGCGAAAGCCAGGGGAGCGAACGGG